Meloidogyne enterolobii is the source of this 97-nucleotide non-coding RNA. The record is from the annotation of a GenBank genome assembly. NCBI's taxonomy places the organism in Eukaryota, Metazoa, Nematoda, Chromadorea, Rhabditida, Meloidogynidae.
GUCCCGAUAGCUCAGUGGUAGAGCUCCUGUAUAUGGGGAGCGAAAGCUCCUAGCCAUAUUUGUCAGGAGGCCGCAGGUUCAAUCCUGCUCAGUGGCU